Molecule: long non-coding RNA, 2526 nt
Filed under: Rattus norvegicus (Norway rat)
Lineage: Eukaryota; Metazoa; Chordata; Mammalia; Rodentia; Muridae
Description: long non-coding RNA NONRATT031567
Source: RNAcentral
AUGACCCCUCUGAAAGCCAUGUGUGUGUGUGUGUGUGUGUGUGUGUGUGUGUGUGUGUGUGUGUGUGUGUUUGUGUCUUCGUUGCCUUUUGGAUCUUACAGUCUCUGUUCUGGGUCUGUUUCUUUCGCUGUGUUGGUGACUCCAUCUGGGAGCUCACUCCUGUUUUUUACUCUUAUUACAGGGUUGGCUGUGAAGUACACGAGGACAGUGUCAAGAGCUCAGUCUACACCGUACUCCCCCGCAGGGGUAAUGUCCAAGUCUGUUUUCAGCUACCACAACCCAGCUGAGGGCAUCACAUGGUCAGAAAGCAAUCCUGCUGGCUGACUGUGGAUGGAAACAUAAGGCAAACCUUUCUUCUUCUCGUAUUUCUCAUGGAGUAGACUCCACCACAGAUGCGAGGCAGCGCUUACCUGAACGCUCGUUUAUUGAACGACUGACGUUGACAGCACAAAGUGCACAGUCACUUGUGGUCAGGCCUUCAUCACUGUUUAACAAGCUCUGAUCGCCCUGUCUGUGGGUCCCAUCAUGCCGAAGGGGACUAUGGACUGAUGUUCACAGGACGUGCUGGCCCUGACUCCUGAGAGGUGAGGCCAGACCUGCUGGGACUGAUUGUUCCCUCAGCUCAGUCUUUGCAAUAGAAAACCAGGUCCGGGAGUGCAGGCAAGGCCAAUACAAACAUUUCAAAACAGUGUGGUGGGAGAUGGAAACAUUUCUAACUUAUAUUCAGAUAUAGGCAUAGAAACUUCCAGAAGUAUUGCUUUUAUUUUUUUUUUAACUACAGUAGGAGGAAGAUAGAAAAUUAUGUCAGCCAUCAGCUUGAGUGGCACAUGCCCAUAAUCCUAAUACUUGAAAGAUGUGGAGACAGGAGGAUCAUAAGUUCACAAGUUCAAGGUCUUUCUUGGCUAUAUGGUGUGUGUGAAGGCAGCUUGGGCUACAUGAGACUCUGUCUCUAAAAAAAAAAUCAAAAAGAGGAAAAAAAAGAAAAAGAAUCUGCCUUUUUACAGUUUGAAAGAACAAAGGCAAAAGUUAGAAUAGGCGUAGGAAGUCUCCUAAACUCCAUUGUAUGUCCCGCACAGCUGACAGGUACUGUGAGGGAGGAGCAUUAGUUCGUGCUAGCUGAACUAAGUCAGUUCUCAUAAUUAUUAAAAUCAGUUUCAUAGGGCUGCGGAUGGCUCAGUCAUUAAGAGCAUUAGCUGCUCUUCUAGAAGGCCAGGCUUCAGAUACCAGCAUCCACACUGGUGUCUCAAAACUGCCUACGGUCAGUCUAGGAGAUCUAACACCCUCUUCUGGACUGUGAGAAAGCCCACUGUGGUGGCUGUUUCUAGUUGUCAACCUGAUUACAUCUGGAAUGAACUGCAAUCCAGAAAUGGAGGACACACCUGUGAUCCAGAUCUUGAGGCUGGAGGACAGGCUUCUGACACAAAUCUUGACAUGGAGAUAUUGAGGCAUAGUGGCCAUGAAAAUCUCAGGCCUAAGCAAGGUAGUACACACAACUAAUUCCAGGAGACUGAGGCGAACUGAUCCCUGAUUUCAAGGUCAGCCUGGGGCAAAGCAAGUUUUAGAUCUAGGUGUGGUGGUAAUCUGAGCCAUACUUUCUGCUGGAGGCCUACAGAAGGACAUUGGAAGAAGGAAGAUUCACCUUUCAACUGCUUGCCCUUACUUGCCAGCACAUCUGCUGAAACCUACUUCUACAGAAGGCCAGAUCUAACAACCAGCCUUGUGGGAUUGAACAGCUACUAGACUCUGGGACUUCCCAUCCACAGCUGCCUAUUGUUGGGUUAGUUGGACUACAGACUGUAAGUCAUCACAAUAAAUUCCCUUAAUAUAUAGAGAGACAUUCUGUAAGUUCUGUGACUUCAGAGAACCCUGACUAAGACAGAAAUUGGUAACAGGAUUGGUUCUAGAGAAGCAGAAGUAUAAGGAUGAAUCUUUUAAGAAUCUGGUUUAAUGGGCUGGAGAGAUGGCUCAGCGGUUAAGAGCUCCCGACUGCUCUUCCAGAGGUCCUGAGUUCAAUUCCCAGCAACCACAUAGUGGCUCACAACCAUCCAUAAAGAGAUCUGAUGCCCUCUUCUGGUGCAUCUGAAGACAGCUACAGUGUACUUAUAUAUAAUAAAUGAAUAAAUCUUUAAAAAAAAAAGAAUCUGGUUUAAUAAUUUGCUAGCACCUUCUAAUUCACCAGCAUCUUGAACUACUGAAGUCUCUCCAGAUUCUCUCUCGUGCGUUCUCGGGAAAUAAAGAAGGCCCGUGGUGGAAACUAUUUCAAACUUAAAGAAGCUAAUGCCUUUAUUAUCUUGAUCCGUCAAUACUGACUGGCAAUGAAUUAGGUGAUCCAGUAUAUGAAGUUUUCUACAAUUUGGGGGAAAAUAAGAAAAAUUAUUUUGCUGGUUUGUUGCUCUUAGUAUGUCUGGAAAAAUUGACGAAGGAAACGAAUGAGCUGUCUUAUAAAAUUGUAGGGCUUCAGAUGCAAGUAAACAAUUUCAAGGUUUUCUAAGUGUGCCCUUGAAGAGAAUCUUCUCUCCAGCAGCC